CAGGUGUGAAUGCUGAGUCUGAACCUG
This 27-nucleotide non-coding RNA is filed under the name Homo sapiens (human). Lineage: Eukaryota; Metazoa; Chordata; Mammalia; Primates; Hominidae. The record is from RNAcentral.